This 75-nucleotide transfer RNA is filed under the name Asterias amurensis (Northern Pacific seastar). RNAcentral describes it as "tdbR00000298". It matches the Rfam family "tRNA". From Rfam's summary of the family: Transfer RNA (tRNA) molecules are approximately 80 nucleotides in length. Their secondary structure includes four short double-helical elements and three loops (D, anti-codon, and T loops). Lineage: Eukaryota; Metazoa; Echinodermata; Asteroidea; Forcipulatida; Asteriidae. The record is from RNAcentral.
UGAGUUGUAGCCUAGUGGAAAGGCGUUUGGCCGUUAACUAAAAGAUAGCAAGAUCAAUACUUGCCAGCUCAGCCA